CGCCGCCGCCGCCGCCGCCGCCGCCGCCGCCGCCGGGUCCCAAGGCGCAGCCCCGGCUGAGGAGCGCGUCGGCCGGCUGCCCAGCAGCGCUGCGCAGGGAGGAGCAGAGCCGCGGAGCCGGCGGGCGGGCGGGCGCGCGGACAGGUCAGGCUGCCAUGGCAGACCAGCGACAGCGCUCACUGUCCACCUCGGGGGAGUCGCUGUACCACGUGCUGGGGCUGGACAAGAACGCAACCUCGGAUGACAUCAAGAAGUCCUAUCGGAAGCUGGCCUUGAAGUACCACCCUGACAAGAACCCCGAUAACCCGGAGGCGGCAGACAAGUUCAAGGAGAUCAACAACGCCCACGCCAUCCUGACCGACGCCACCAAGAGGAACAUUUACGACAAGUACGGCUCGCUGGGCCUCUACGUGGCCGAGCAGUUCGGGGAGGAAAACGUCAACACCUACUUCGUGCUGUCCAGCUGGUGGGCCAAGGCGCUCUUCGUCUUCUGCGGGCUCCUCACCUGCUGCUACUGCUGCUGCUGCCUGUGCUGCUGCUUCAACUGCUGCUGCGGCCGGUGCAAGCCCAAGGCCCCCGACGGCGAGGAGACCGAGUUCUAUGUGUCCCCCGAGGACCUGGAGGCGCAGCUGCAGUCCGACGAGCGGGGAGGGCACUGACACUGUGCGGGAGUGUUGGUGGUGGCGGCGGGACUGUUGAGGUGUGAACGCGGACGCUGGAGAGGCUGCAGACGCUCCGAUCGCCGUCCAGCCGGCCUCGGCCACGGAGACCACCCAGCUCACGGCCGACUCGCACCCCAGCUACCACACCGACGGGUUCAACUAAGUUCAGGAGGAGCUGCGACGAGAGGGCCAGCGCCCGGCCGGCCGCUCAACCUUCGAAUCAUGAACUGUAGUCACAGAGCUGGCGCGGGAGCCGCUCCGGCCACGGGAAGGGCAGCGCCCGCCUGCCCGCCUCUGUGCCCGCCCGCCGUCCGUCGAUCCCGACCCACGAAGCGCGUAGCAUGCAGUAUUUAAAGCAGUUUAGCUACGGUCUUCUGUUGUUCCUUUCUUUGACAGCAUGUAUGGGUUCUGUUCCAUGUCCGUCUGUGUUGUGGGCGUGUUGCAGCCAGGCCGUGUUCACCCGGCGGGGCGGGGCGGGGGCAGGGGGGCGCCUCAGGGCUUUCGGUCCGGUCUGUGCCCUGGGUGGACGGCCCGCGUGGGACAGGCCGGGAGCUGUGGGGGCUGCCCGCUGCCCUCUGCGCGCGGCCGUGUGGCCACAGGCAGGGCCCUUGGACUCAGGCGCCUGGCGGGAGCCGGGCCCAGCCGCCCGGCGCGGCCCUUCCGUGGUGUUGGUCCCGAGGACAGUCGGUGCGGCCUCUUCGCCUUGUGGGCUCGGCCUGGCAGCGGGCGUUCCCCGUGUGCGGCUGUGGCGGACGCUGCAGGAGGCUCUGCUGAGCGCGGUCUUGCCGUGUCGGACCUGAGGCCGGUCCCCGCCCCCUCGCCAGGCGUGGGAACGGUCCCGCACUUUCCCAGGCCACGGGCCGGAUGCACAGGGCCCCCUCCCGCAGCCCCCGCUCCCCCCGCCUGCACAUUGUCUUCGCCCACCUCCCUGCAGGACCCCCUGGCCCUUUCGGGACCCCCUCAGAAUCGCAGAUGGCAGCAGUGGCUCGGGAGUCGGGGGCUGAGAGUCCUCCCCCGUGCCACCCAGAGCGCCCAGCCGCCCCCUUCCUUCGCGUGGUCCCUUUGGCUGGUGUUGAUGGCUCGGAUAGAGCUAGAGGCAUCGGACUCAGAGCAAGGACCAGCUGGACCAAAGGCGCACUCUGGGUAGGGGGGGGGUUCCGGGAGGCCCUGGGCCCUUCGGCGUGUUCGCCCGCGGCCGGGCCACGGAAGCCCUGGGAGGGCGCUCCUGCCUGGCCUGCGCGUGGCACUGCCGGGUUUCUGCAGAACGAGCCGAGGGAACCGCCAGUGGGAAGGACGGGGUGGGGGCCGCACGCAGGGAGGUCAGAUGCACCUGGAGUCACUGUCGUCGUCGUUGUCGUCCCCCCCCCUGCCCGCCCCCACCCCCGCCGCCGCCGCCAUGGCCCGAGCACUCCAGGAGCCGUGCUGGGGGAGGCCCCGUUUUGUUGGGGGUUUUGUGCGGGAGGAUGAUCACGGAGGCGCCCAGUGAGGGAGGUGCGCCCUGAUACUGAGCUAGAAGGGCCCUGGGCUCGGGCUGCUGGGAGGGUUAGGAAAUGCACCGUCUCACCGCCCAGGACGGGGAGGAGGCCCCACGCAGGGCGGUCUUCACUGCCAGUUCCCGUCCAGCAGCAGGAGUCCAGCCCGAGGGGGAGUCUCUGGAAGUAACUAGGAAGUGAGUUGUUUUCCCCGAACGGCCAAGAACCCAGCUCAAAGCUUCGGGCAGGAAGCCGCCCCUGCACCGUGUCUGUGCUCUUGUUUUGUGUCCAGAAGCACUGAGGCCCGUGGCACACGCCAGUGGUCCCCUGCCGGGGGUCUUUCGGUUCUAGAAUCUUACGGAUCGUCUCCUAGAAACAUGACGCUCCCUGGAGGCCCCGGUGGCGUGGGAAGGAGGGGCAGGUCUGGGUCGAACCCGUCCCCUGUGGGGUUUGUAGAAGUGAGAUAAGUGGUGAGUGAUGACAGCAGCCCUCAAGCCGAUGCUGAUGCUGCCCCGAGGCCCAGGCCCCCGGGAGCUGAGCCCGGGUCUGGACCACCCCCCGCCUGACCCAACCCGAAGCGUGUCCUCUCUGGGGUCCGGGGCAGAAGCCCUUCCCAGGGGUCUACUGUCCACACUCGCAGGCCGCCUCCUGGCUGGAGACCAAGGUCCCCGGGUACCCUUCGCCCGCGUGGCUGUCUGUUCUCUGGGCAGCAGUGUUGUGUCUGGAGGGGUGUAGCCGCGCCUGUGGUCGGCAGGGACAGCUCUCUGCCUGUCGUGGUGGGGACAGGAGUGCUGUGGGCCUCACGCUGGGUGGCCCGCUGUGGCCAGGGCUGGGGGACCCGAGGGGUGGGUGGGGACGGGGCUGUGCACGUCUCUGUUUCCGCGUGGUGACUGGUUCCUGGGUCUUGGGGCCUUACCCUGCUUCCCGCUGCUUUCGCUGUGAGCCCUCCUGCUUUUCUGAUCAGUCGAGUGGGACCCGCUGGGCAAAGCCUGGGCGCGCUGAGCGGGGCGGGCGGCGUGUCCACACUGCUGGCCGGGGAGCCCGUCCGGGGCGGCCUGGUCAGCAUCUGGAGGGAGUGCGCCCGGGAGAGCCCUGCCUGUCCUGGCUCAGUGCGUGCGCCCGGGGCGGGGGGGGGGGCAGCUUGGAGGCUGUGACAACGGGCCUGAUUGCAUUCCUCUGGCGGCUUCUGAGCUGUGAACUCUGUGACCCGGGACUCACCUGUUGCGCUCCUCCUCCUGUGGAAUUGGCAGCCAGCUCUGUUUCCUCCUGUCGUUUCAAGCACGGUUGGCGUCGUCUGCUGUAGGUGUGGGCAGUGUGUGUACAUAUGUGUAUAUGUAUAUAUAUCACGCAGCAGGCGUGACUGCUGCUGUCCAGUGGCGAAGCAACAAGUACAAUAAAAAUCGGCUCCGAAUUGGCCUCUGGUUUCUUGACGAGUCGCGGUGGGAGCCGGGCCUCGGCGUCUGGUGUCCUGCUCCUUGCGCGGAAGGCAGCACCGACCCCGCUGUGCGCCCGGAGCCGGUGCCUGCCCCCUGCGAGUCCAGGGCGGGGGCAGGGCCGCCCAGGCGGCGACUGGGCAAGCGCUGCCCAUCCCUCCCUGGGCCCCGUUGCUCUCCUGACCCAGAGGUGGGUGGCACGGCCCUGUGACGCUCAGGUGGCUGGAAACCCUCCCUCUCUUGAAACAUGAAAGCCAGUUUAUGCAGCAGAUGGAGUCUGACAGCUGUGCUCAGAGGGCCCCUGUCCUGCCCACAGAACCACCCUGCAGGUUCCUGGGGAACCUGGGUUCCUCCAGGCGGGGGCUGGCCGCGGCUCGUCUCUGGAAAAUGGGGUGAUGUGGCGGGGGAGGCAGUUUACACUGAAACGUUCCCGACGUGGUGAGAAGCCCUGUGCGGGUGUGGGGACCGUUGUGGUCCCCGUGCUGCUCUCGUCCUCCUGGGGCCUGACCUCUGCCCUGGCGCCUGCGCACACCGGGGGCCAGGCCAGAUUCCCGUGGGGGCGGUCUCUUCUGUCUGAAUGUUGACCUGUGAUAAAGAUACGUGUAAAAUAAAUGUUUUCACCGCA
RNA transcript from Phacochoerus africanus (Common warthog), 4192 nucleotides. It is a transcript of the gene named DnaJ heat shock protein family (Hsp40) member C5, with no coding region annotated. Lineage: Eukaryota; Metazoa; Chordata; Mammalia; Artiodactyla; Suidae. The record is from RefSeq and is a predicted model, not a curated record. The transcript has 6 exons.